RNAcentral lists this ribosomal RNA (449 nucleotides) under uncultured bacterium. Its description in RNAcentral is "partial 16S ribosomal RNA". It matches the Rfam family "Bacterial small subunit ribosomal RNA", at positions 29 to 523 of the family's 1533-position model. The record is from RNAcentral.
AACGAACGCUGGCGGCAUGCCUAACACAUGCAAGUCGAACGAGAUCUUCGGGUCUAGUGGCGCACGGGUGCGUAACGCGUGGGAAUCUGCCCUUUGGUUCGGAAUAACAGUUGGAAACGACUGCUGAUACCGGAUGAUGACGAAAGUCCAAAGAUUUAUCGCCAGAGGAUGAGCCCGCGUAGGAUUAGCUAGUUGGUGUGGUAAAGGCGCACCAAGGCGACGAUCCUUAGCUAGUCUGAGAGGAUGAUCAGCCACACUGGGACUGAGACACGGCCCAGACUCCUACGGGAGGCAGCAGUGGGGAAUAUUGGAAAAUGGGCGAAAGCCUGAUCCAGCAAUGCCGCGUGAGUGAUGAAGGCCUUAGGGUUGUAAAGCUCUUUUACCCGGGAUGAUAAUGACAGUACCGGGAGAAUAAGCUCCGGCUAACUCCGUGCCAGCCGCCGCAGUAA